GGCUACAGUCAUGCUACCCUGAACAAGCCCAAUCCCGUCUGAUUUCGGAAGCUAAGCAGGGUUGGGCCUGGUUAGUACUUGGAUGGGAGACCACCUAGGAAGACCAGGUGCUGUAGGUG
RNAcentral lists this ribosomal RNA (119 nucleotides) under Pteropus alecto (black flying fox). RNAcentral also lists the same sequence under 1 other name. Lineage: Eukaryota; Metazoa; Chordata; Mammalia; Chiroptera; Pteropodidae. The record is from RNAcentral.